UUUUGGGUAUCUACACAUUAGUCCUACACUUUAUAUGACAAUGUAUUGGCCCCCUUAACAAUAAUGUCCAUAAGACCACUAAUAUAGGCCAAACCAAAAUAUAGCACAUAACAUAUAAUUAAUCCAUAUAUUGUCCAUAUGUGUGUAGUAUAAGUCCAAAUGUCUAACAAUCUCACACUUGGACUAUAUACUCAUGCAUAUGUACAAACCUUAGCAUCAUAUGUUACAUUAUAACUUUAUGAGCUCAUAAUUGCUAUCAUAAUAAAAUUGUCAUGAACAAUCCGGUCCAUCAAUCAUACCAACAUAGGAUCUAAGAGAUUUUAGUUACUCUUGCGUAACUAGACCCAACAUAGAUCACGUAUAUCAAUAUAACCAACGACAUGGAUCAAGUAUAUGUGUGUAGCAUGGAAAUAACAUACAACAUAGAUCACGUAUAUCAAUAUAACCAACAACAUGGAUCAAGUAUAGGUGUGUAGAAUGGAAAUAACAUAAAGUGUGGUCUGAAAUAGAAUGUCUAUUUCCAACUGGUUCUCUUAAUUGAGAUCAAUCAUAAACCUUAAGAAUA
This 565-nucleotide long non-coding RNA is filed under the name Nicotiana benthamiana. RNAcentral describes it as "long non-coding RNA (NBEN_LNC010905)". Lineage: Eukaryota; Viridiplantae; Streptophyta; Magnoliopsida; Solanales; Solanaceae. The record is from RNAcentral.